Molecule: ribosomal RNA, 254 nt
Filed under: uncultured bacterium
Lineage: Bacteria
Description: partial small subunit ribosomal RNA
Rfam family: Bacterial small subunit ribosomal RNA
Source: RNAcentral
AGAGCGAACGCUGGCGGCGUGCUUAACACAUGCAAGUCGAGCGGAAAGGCCCUUCGGGGUACUCGAGCGGCGAACGGGUGAGUAGCACGUGAGUAAUCUGCCCCUAGCUCUGGGAUAGCUCCGGGAAACCGGGAUUAAUACCGGAUACGACCACUUUAGACAUCUGUUGUGGUGGAAAGAAUUUUGGCUAGGGAUGAGCUCGCGGCCUAUCAGCUUGUUGGUGGGGUAAUGGCCUACCAAGGCGACGACGGGUA